GUUGGCAUCCAUAUCACCCUGUAGUACAAGACUGGUCGCCCACUAAAGCUAAGCAGGGUUGAGCCUGGUCAGUACCUGGGGGCUGUUUCAUAAAACAAGUUUACCAAAUAAGCCAGGCUUAUUUCAUUU
Molecule: ribosomal RNA, 129 nt
Organism: Sinocyclocheilus grahami
Lineage: Eukaryota; Metazoa; Chordata; Actinopteri; Cypriniformes; Cyprinidae
Source: Ensembl